UUGUUUAUAGUUACUUAUUUAAUGUUUGUGCUUUAUUAUUACCUAUUUUACUUGAUUUCAAUUAUGUAUAAGUUUCUUUUUAAUGUUUAUACUAACUAUAAUUUCAUUUUGUUAAAUUGUUUAUAGUUACUUAUUUAAUGUUUGUGCUUUAUUAUUAGCUAUUUUACUUGAUUUCAAUUAUGUAUAAGCUUCUUUUUAAUUAUGUUGUUUGCUAGUAAAUUUACUUAUUUGUGAUAUACAAUUAUGUUAUACAUGUUUUCAUAUGAGAUUAUUCCUAAGUAUAUGUAUCUAUAUGUUACAAUUGUGAAGCCGGGUGUUAUCUACUACCCCGUGCUUAAGUGA
This 342-nucleotide long non-coding RNA is filed under the name Rosa chinensis. RNAcentral describes it as "sRNA RchiOBHm_Chr7g0182821". Lineage: Eukaryota; Viridiplantae; Streptophyta; Magnoliopsida; Rosales; Rosaceae. The record is from RNAcentral.